This 374-nucleotide ribosomal RNA is filed under the name uncultured bacterium. RNAcentral's name for it is "bacterial SSU rRNA". It matches the Rfam family "Bacterial small subunit ribosomal RNA", at positions 523 to 898 of the family's 1533-position model. The record is from RNAcentral.
ACACGUAGGGGGCGAGCGUUAUCCGGAAUUAUUGGGCGUAAAGGGUGCGUAGGCGGCUUCUUAAGCGUGGGGUGAAAGGCAAUAGCUUAACUAUUGUAAGCCUUGCGAACUGGGGAGCUUGAGUACAGGAGAGGAAAGCGGAAUUCCUAGUGUAGCGGUGAAAUGCGUAGAUAUUAGGAGGAACACCAGUGGCGAAGGCGGCUUUCUGGACUGUAACUGACGCUGAGGCACGAAAGCGUGGGUAGCGAACAGGAUUAGAUACCCUGGUAGUCCACGCCGUAAACGAUGAGCACUAGGUGUCGGGGUCGCAAGACUUCGGUGCCGCAGUUAACGCAUUAAGUGCUCCGCCUGGGGAGUACGCACGCAAGUGUAAA